GCAAUAUGUUUGCUUUAUAAGACUUGUAUAUGUCAAUUUUACAGAUUUAAAUAACACUUUGAAACUAAAUGGUUGGGUGGGUGGAUGUGCGUGUGGAUGUAGGUGUAAGUAAAAUUUAUCUUUUAUGAAACAGUGGUUUUCCCGAUCUGUUCCACUAUCUGCAGGAAACUUGUGGCCCCAUUCAUUUUUGGGGAACCAGUUUAGAUAGUAUCAGUGGACACAUUGAAUCAAAUACUUCUAUUAUGUUUUAAUUUUCAGGUUGGAUUUUGGAGCAACAAGCACUUAUACUGUUUCCAGUGGUACAGUUAGAUCUGGCGAGAUGCAAAAGAAGAUGGGACUUUUCCUCUUUUAACAUUGUGUGGAAGGUAGAAUUUCAGCAGAAUGUAGCUUGCACCCCUCUUUUACAUCUAGACACUCUAGGGUGCAGCUCUCUAGAUGUUACCCACCCUUAGAUGCAAGCUAAGCUGCUGAAAUUUCAUUUUCUGUACACUAUAGUUUGAGAAUUACAGUCCAAAAACCAUUAGAGUGCCAUAUUUUGUCCCACUCCACCAGUGACAGAGCUCCUGCAUUUUUCAUAGUUUUGUAGAAGAAGAGAUUUACAUGGAUAUAGCAUGUCAUCCCUCUUCUCUGCAGCUAUGAUGGACACGGGAGCCCUGUCCUUUGGUAAGAGUGCGGGUGGAGGUAGCGAACAUGCAAUGUUGUCUUUUAUAUCUGGCCACCUUAGCAGAUACUGCCACUUUGAGAACACUAUUCUCUUCUUUCCGGUAUGCAUGGCUCUAGAAUUUCUUUCUUUCUUUUCUUCCAGUGUGAGAAACUGGAGCUGGCAAAAGGACCCUGAUGGCUUUCCUUUGCAGCACAAAGUGCUUGUAGUUACACCAGAUUGCUUGACAUCUGCUAGACGUGACACUGUCUUCUGGUACUCCAGAGAGCCCAAAGUGAGUGAACACCACGGGGGAAGCUUGGCUGAUUCCAAAGGUACGACCAUCUUUUCCUUUCUCUUUCCCAGAAGACUUAAAGGGAGAGAGUCUGUGAGCUGAAAAGUGACUCAGAAAGCUUCUCUUUGUCCUAUGUGAGUGGCAGUUACUUAGGAAAGAUGUAAAA
Molecule: long non-coding RNA, 1101 nt
Filed under: Pogona vitticeps (central bearded dragon)
Lineage: Eukaryota; Metazoa; Chordata; Lepidosauria; Squamata; Agamidae
Description: lncRNA (ENSPVIG00000010144.1)
Source: RNAcentral